UCCUUUAUAUUUUCUUUUAAUCUAUAAUUCAAUUUUUACCCCUUAUUCAAUCUAGUCCAUCUUCUUAUUUUCUCUUAAUUAAACUAAAUUCACUUAAUUAAAACCUAAUUAAGCUCACCACUAGACUUAUAAAUAAUUCUAAUAAUUAUUUACAAACCCAUUUUAUUAAGACGGAGGCUCGAUAAUGUACUUUUUCGAUGCCCGUGAAUUUUGGGUCAUAUCACAACUGUGGGUGGAGGAUGUAAUCCAACAAGCCAAAGAAGAAGAGGAAGCAAUAACACACUAUCAAAGAAAAAUGAACAAUACAUAUUAAGAAUCUUUACAAAGCACAAAAUAGAAAUUACAACUAUCUUUGCAAGUAAAAAACUUGAAAUUCAUUUCUUUAUCAAUCCCCCAAAAAAGAAAAAAAGAAAAGAAAAGAAAAGAAUGUGUUUUUGUGGAUUUGAUUAAUUGAUGAUUGACAUUUAAUACUUAUUUUUUUAAAAAAAAUACCCAUUUAAUACAUCCACAUCCAAAUAACAUAGUUUCUAGUUCUACAGAAAUAUACAUAUAUUAUAUGAAAAUUUUUAAAAUAUUCGAUCUUUAAUUUACCUUCUAAAAAGUUUGUAUUCAUCCUCACAUUGUAAUUAACUAAUGUUUUAUUUGAAUUAACUUCUUUUAUUUUGUAUUAACUCAAUUCGAUUAUAGGUAUACAGUGUAUUAAAUAUCUUAAAAAUUAUGUAUGUUAAAAUAUUCGAUUAUUAUUUGUAUUUAAAUAAAAUCUAAAAUUCCACAUACAUUACAUUCUUACCAUAACAUGAUUUGUUUGUAGCAUUUUUUUUUUGUUUCGUUUGUUGAGAUAAUUUUUGUAGUGUUAAUUAUAUUUUUUAAUCAAACAAUAUAAGUAAUAUAAAAAAUUGUUUGAAGACCAAAAUUAAAUAUAACAUAAAUUAAAGAUAUCGAAAAUAAAAAUAGUUUAAAAAUAUAUUAAAAGAUUAAAAUAGUUUUAAAUGAAACAUAUCAAAAAUAAAAACAUAUCGAAAAUUAAAUAUAACCAAAAUGUUCUUGUUUAAAGUAAAAAGAUCAAAUCCAAAUUGUAAAUGUAGUUUAACAUGUAUAUAUUGUCUUGUUGCUACCUUAGCAUACCCUUGAGUGAUAUUUGCAACUUUUGAAUGCCAGAUAAAAUCUGCAACCAUGAAAAUGUCCUUAGCAACCAUGUAAAUGCCAGAUAAAAUGUGCAACUUUUGAAUCAAUCAAAAUAGAUGAAAACCAGUGGAAAAAUGAGGGUAAUGAACGAUUGCCUAUAACUCAAUACAAAAAUCUUACGAUGGACUGGUGAUCAAGUUAUAAUGUCUCUGUCCAAUCAACUAUCAACAUUAUGAACGAUACCCUUAAUUUAAAUUGCAUAAAACAGAUGAAGAUAGGUAUAAAAUAUGAUCAUGCUUUCAUUAGUUUUUAAGGAGAAUUACUAUACAACCUUAGAAAAUAGAAACUCAAUUAUAUGUUGCCUUCAAAAUGUAGGGACAGACUAAUAACAAAGAAAACCAGUAGAAAGUUACAACUACAAACUUAAAUAUUAAAUAUUUGAGAUUCAUUGUGCCAAUUCGAUAUUAAAAAAAAUUGAAACUUUGAAAUUAUAAAUGAACGAAGCAUACUAGAUCAAAUUAGAUUUAAAUUAAAUAUAAUAUCAUUGACUCACUGUGGUAAGCAAUCACCAAUGAUUUGAGCACACAUAUACCAAUAAUAUAUAUUUGAAGUCAAUAUGGUAAGAUGGUCCAUCCUCAUGCAAAUGUUACCAAUACAAAUCAGCAAUGAUUAAAAAAACCAGCCCACAUUAGUUGCAGCCUCAGAGUCAGAUCAUACAAACAAUUGACUAUCAAAUGAUUAAGAUGGACUAAGAUUCAUGCUUGUGCUAAGCAAUAAAUACAAAAGCACAAAGCCUGAGUCAGAUUCAUGCUUGUGUUAACAAACUAUACCACAACAACAUAAAGACCGAAAGAACAUCCAUAAAACAAACUUACAAAUUCACAAGAUUUGUAAUAAUAUCAUGAGUCAUGGAACUGAAAAUUCUGUAGAAUUUAAAGAAAAUCAUAUCUUCGUUAAGACUAUUGUGAGGGUUCCUACUUAGAACUAACCUAUUAACAUUUUAAAUAGAACACAAUUUUCAACAUUGGAACUGAAUACCACAGAAAGUUAGCAUCACAUAAUUAUUGCCAAAAAAAUGCAAUAAAGGGCCUUAUCCGAUCUUUAAGUCUGAAAAUGAGUACAUGCAUGGUAAACACUUUUUACUUGGUACAGUAAAUACUAAGAAAAUAAAAAAGAUGAAAUGAAUUUGCUACCUUAGCUAACAAAUUUGAAUCCAGCAAAACAAAAAGGAUGGCGAGAUUACAGAUAAAAACUAAUUAGGUAUAUCAUUUUCUUGCAUUCCACUUCUAAAUCUUUCCUAGAGAGCAUAUGAAUGAAAAAGUAUGCUCAUUUUCUAUCAUUCUUCCCACCAAUCCUCUAUCCUCCUAGUUUUCAAAACACUCCACCAAUAAAAUUUUAAAGUUAACCACAACAACAUAAUGUAUACGGUACAUUCCAAGAGGGCAGAAAAUGCAAAGAAAUAAAUGCUCUUACUUAUUUCAACUUAUAACAUUAUACUAACAAAAUUUGAGAAAAAAGAAAGAAAGAAGAGGAAGAAAAAGUAGCAUUUAAGGUUGAGAACACAGUAUGAAAAUUACCCUGUUCUCACGGUAUUCUUCUGAAUACUCUGAUCCAUCUCAUCUAAAACAUGUGAUCUAAAAAGCACAUCAAACUGUAUCAAAUAAAGCAUCAUUAAACAAAAUCCAGUAAAAAGAACCAUUGCACUAAAAGCAAUCUAAUUUUGCAACAUCUAAAACUUCCAUCUAAACUUCAUAAAAAGCCUAACAUAGGGUCAUAUUUUUUUGGCAGAACUAGGGACAAGCAGCAAGGUAAGAAAUAUAUCCAAUUUCUAAAGAGGACCCAAAACCCUAAUUCCCAACAUAGGCCAUUCAACAUUACAAAGGACUAAUACAUCAAAUUUCAAGAUAGCUGGAGAUAAGGUUGGGAGGAAAUGAGAAGAAGAAUGAGAAAGAGGAAAAUGCUUUAGAAGUUUGAAAGAAAUAAGGGUAAACAGAGGAAAUUUUUCACCCACCCAUUCGCUGAAUAGUUAUUCCUGACCCAGACCACCGAAUUGUAAACAUAACUUUUGCCUUGAAUAAUCCCGUUUGGAAUAGGAUUGUAAUAGCUCAUUACAACCAACCAAACAAUGGCUUAGUGAUGGGCUCACUGAAUUCAGUUGUAAUGUAUUAGUAUUACAACCAACCAAACAUGCUGUUAACAUUUUCAAUAUUAAGGCAACGUCUAGUGUUUUCCCAGGUUAUGAUUAAAAUGGAAUGUAAUUCAUUAAAAUGUAAUUUUUGUGAAUGUGAUUUUCGGGAAAGUUACUUUAUAGCGUUUGAUAUACAUAGGAAUGUGUUGAUUAAAAUUCUAAAAUACGAUGAAAUUUACACUAUCACAUUUGGUUCACUAAAUACUUUAUUAGGAAUGUAAUGCUAAUUUAUGAAAGUACUUUUAUUAAAUAAAAUAAAAUAUUUAUGUAUUUAAUUCCUAUAUUAAACUUUAUUCUUAACAAAUAUUUGGAUUAAAUAUUUAAUAAUAAAUUUUAAUUGACAUUUUUAAUUUUUUAAAUUUAUAAUGUUAAUUGGAAAUAAAAUUAUUUUAAAUUUGUCUUGCAUAUAUUUUCUAAAUAUAAUAAUGCACAUAUAAAAUCAAGUAUAUAUAAAAUUUGUUUUGCAAUAAACUAAAAAAAUAUGUAUAUAUAAUACUUGUGAAAAAUCUGUUAAAAUAAUAAAGAAAAUCAAGCAGUAGGACAAAGGAAGAAGGUAAUAGCUUUUUUUUUUCUUUUACCUUCAUUAAUAUAUUAAUAUCCUAAAUCAAUAUAAAAUAAGAUUAAUUUUGUCAUAAUAUUUUUUAGAACUUUUCAAUCUAUAUGAAAAAGUUUAUCAUGAGAAUCAUAUUAUCAUGUAAUGGAAAAUGACACCUAAAAGAAAAUUAGAUUUGAAAGAAAAUAAAUAAUGCUGAAAUGCUAAAAGUUAAAAUCACUUUCUAACUCUAAAAAAAAUUAGCUAUUUUUCAUAAUACCAAAUGUUAUCUAAGUAAUAAGCAGCUACCUACUUAGCAUAUUCAACAUAUUUUGUUAAAAAAAUUAUAUUCGUGAAAAAUUAAUAGAUUAUUAAAUACCAUUAAAAAAUUAAAUGUUGAAAAAUUACAUUUUCAAUCAUUUAUUAAACACAACUUAAAUUAUAUUUUUAAAUUUUAUAUAUAUACAAAAAAAAUAACUAAAAAAAGUUAGGGUGUUUUAUUAAUACUUAUUUAUUUAAUUAUAUAUUUUAAAAUAUUAUCAUAAAAUAUUUUAACAAUAAAUUUAAAAAUAAAUUUAAAUAUUUUUCAAAUCAACUUGGAUCAAUUUUAAAAUUUUUUUCUAAAUAUUAAUUAGUUGAUGUGAAUCUUUCAGUUAAUUCUUAAACACCUUGAAAUCAAAUUUUUAAAACGCAAUUUACAAAGAUAAUGUUUAAAAUAAUAUUUUUCUGGUCAAUAUUAAAAUAAAAUAACAAAAAAUUAGAAAGAAGGAAUAGUAGUAUGUAAUUAUGUAUCGCUAAAAACUGGAUUUUUUCUCAAAUUGGGAGAUAUUUUUGGAGAUCAUAAAAAACUACACUGAUACCUUUGAAAAACAAUCAUUUAUUUAUUAUUAAAAGAGUAAAAAAAACAAUAAAUGAAAAUAAAAAAGAAAAAAUAGAGUUUCAAAACGACCUCUGGAGUCUGUGGCGGUGUAGUCGUCGUAGGUCUCUUAAGACACCCGCAAAUGUACACAUCUUUUUUUAACUAUUUCAUACUUCAUUUACUUUCAUUUCACUCCUCUUCUAAUAGGCCCUAAACCUUUUUUCCCCUAUUUAUUGACCCCCCCCCCCCCCCCUUGAUUUCCUUGUUGAAACACUGUGAAAAUUCCUCAGAGAACUCAAAAUUUGUAUAAAACGCCAAAAAUCAAACAAACACUUAAACCAAGCACCACUCUCUCAUCAAACCUCCAUUCUAUUUGCUUUUGGGGUUUUCUUUUCUCUUUCUUUCUUUCAUUUUCAUAAAUCUCUCUUUGAGAAUCAAUUUUCUUUGGUUUCAUGCUGCCUACUUUGGAUGUGUAAGCAUCCAUCGCUAAUCGCUCUCUCUCGCCUUUCACAGGUUUUCUCUCUUUUCUUUCUUUUUAGGCUUUUCAGUAUGUCUAUUUUUUAUGUAAUUUAUAUCUGAUCUGUUUUUUUUUUUCGAUUUCUAAAAUAUAUGUUCUCGUUCUUUUUAAAUUUGUUUCGUCUUUUUAGUAGUUGGAAGUAGAGGAGUAGAGGUGAGAUGGCGAAUAUAAGAUCGACUUUGCCUUCGAGGCUUCGCCAGCUUUUGUCUGGUGAAACUGACAUCGGUCCUUCUAUUAAACUCGAUUCUGAGCCCGUAAGUUUCUUUUUCUUUAAUUUUUCGUUUAGGAUUCCUGAGAAAAUGCUGUCUAAUUAGGGUUUAUCUGAAUCUCUCUUUUUUUUUUGUACUCCUUUCUCGGAGUGAUUGCUAUUUUAAUGCUAUGCUUGUUUCUUUAUGUUUUCUAUGUUAUUAUUAGUUGUUGAUAUAAUUGAUUGUUUGUUUGUUACUAUUGAUUGCUUCCACUAUAUGGCGGUUAACUGAGAGAUAUUAAUGCUUUUAGAACGAAUUGAUUCUUACAUUAUUAGUUGUAGUCACAAAAUUGUUAUCUGUAUUUUAAAAAAAAAUGAGCACAAUGUCUUAAAGCUGAAGACCUUAUAUUGUUUAUGACAUGUUUUCUGUUCUACCUGCUUAAGAAUGUGCUUUGGAGUAAGCAUUCCGUAUUUGCAAAUGUUUUCUCUAACAGUAAGGGCAAUAGUUGGUGUCAGUUGUUAUGGUUCAUGUUGUUUCUCUGACAGGAUUAUGCGCCUUUACUUCUCAUAAUUCAUACCAAGUAAGAAUCCUGAGGUUUUAGAGAGUUUUUUAUUUAUUUAAAUAAUGCUGGACUAGAAAAUUGAAGCAUGUAAUUUGUUGUGGAUAGUUGUCUUAGGAUGUUAUGAUCUUUUUUUACACUAUAUUUUUCAUUUUAGAAUAAAAAAUAAUGUUAGUAAAUUGCUAAAUUGUGCAUUCUGUGUUAUUUUGCCUAGGUAUGAAACUUUCUGUAUGGUUCUAGAUGUUUCCGGGCUUACAUGCUGAUAACUUAGUUUCUUUAAUUUCAAUAUAUGAAUGAAAUAUUUUGUCCAAGGUUAUAGAGGACAUUUUGGUUUCUUUCAUUGGAGUUUUUGGAAUGCCAUUUAAGCCUAGAUUUUAGGCACUUCUAACUGAUCAAUGCUAGUUCUUUUCCUACUUUCUACUUUUAGAAUAUUUGGUUAUCAUGUGUUUACUGCUGGUGCUUGUAAUUAUAUGUCUGUGUGAACUUUUUGUUCUGGUACUGCUAUAAUUUUAUAAUUGAUGUGAUACAUCUGCAAUCAGUACGCAUGUCCUGUUCUGCGGUACUAUUAAUAGCUUUUAUAAGAUGGCAUUCUCUACUCUCAAUUAAUUGUUGCUUGGUAUGACUUUUAGACCUUUAGCAAAGUGCUUAUAUGAAUAUCUUUGUGAGCAUCUAUUUUAUCUUUCUACAUUGUGGAAGUAUUAGAAGAAUUUUUUAGUUCUCUUCUAUUUUAUACUCUCAAUUAAUUGUUGCUUGGUAUGACUUUUAGACCUUUAGCAAAGUGCUUAUAUGAAUAUCCUUGAGAGCAUCUAUUUUAUCUUUCUACAUUGUGGAAGUAUUAGAAGAAUUUUACAGUUCUCUUCUAUUUUAUGUGUGAAAUUUUUGGAAGUCAUCUAAGCUGGCAUCUUGGCAUAUUUUACAAGAACACUACAUAAAUUUCAUUUUUAACAUAGUUUUAUGGAUAAUUAUGAUGUACCAGCUAGUCAAUACUUGGCUAGCUUUAAUGCAAUGAGCAAGAGAUGAUGUUUUGAGUUCCCAUUAUUAUUCUUGCUCUUUUGACCUUUAAUUAUUGAGCUUCAAAUUUUGGCAUUAGUUUUGUGCUUUAAAAUUUCUUUUAGAUUUUCUUUUCAAUAUUAUUUAUUGCUUUCAUUGCUCAUAUUUGGUUAUUCUCAUCUUUCUUUAGGGAAUUAAGAGCCAACAUAAACUCCCAAACAUGCUUUAGGGAACUUAUGCAUAUACAUUGAUGUAUGUUUACUGAUUGCCAUGGACUUUCUUGAAUGGAGUAUAUACUGGUUUCAAUAAGCUUGCCUGAAUGUCCAGAAAAUUUCUAUGUAUGUUCUCUUUUUGUUCUGGGAAAUAUAUCUAACAUGCACUGUCACUUGCAGCCUCCUCAAAUUAAAGCAUUUAUUGAUAAAGUGAUCCAGAGUCCUUUACAGGAUAUAGCAAUACCUCUUUCAGGCUUUCGAUGGGAGUAUAGUAAGGUGAUUUUUGCACUACUUAUUCCUCUUUGAUUGCCUCCUUUCUUGGUUCUUUCACUCACUUGUUGCUUUUAAUUCAGGGGAAUUUUCAUCAUUGGAGGCCACUAUUUCUUCAUUUUGAUACAUAUUUCAAGACUUAUGUGUCUUGUAGGAAUGAUCUUCUCUUAUCAGAUAAAAUUCUAGAAGAUGAUAGUCCAUUUCCAAAGCAUUCAGUUCUUCAAAUACUACGAGUUAUGCAAAUGAUAUUGGAGAAUUGCCACAACAAAAGUUCAUUUGAUGGUUUGGAGGUAUGCUGAGAUGGUGCCAUGAAUUAUUUUAACUAUGGUGACUUGCGAACAUGUUUAGGUCCUAGCGACUUGUUAACUUAUGGAUGCUCUAUGUUCUUCUCCUAUACUGUUUUUUUUUUCUAAUGUAACUCUCACAUUCGCCUUUCAGCAUUUCAAGUUCCUGCUUUCAUCCACUGAUCCUGAAGUUCUCAUAGCUACCCUGGAGACUCUUUCUGCUCUUGUUAAAAUAAACCCAUCUAAGGCCCACGGGAGUGGUAAACUGAUUGGAUGUGUCUCAGUAAACAGCUAUCUGCUUUCUCUUGCUCAGGGAUGGGGGAGCAAGGAGGAGGGCUUGGGUCUGUAUUCUUGCGUUUUGGCAAAUGAGAAAACAAAUGAUGAAGGGCUUAGUUUAUUUCCAUCUGACAUGGAAAAUGACCAUGACAAGUCUCAACACCGAAUUGGUUCUAGCCUUUAUUUUGAAUUGCAUGGGCCCAAUACUCAAGGUACUGAAGAAAGCAGUGGGAAUGCAAGUUCUAAUUCGAGAGUCAUUCACAUGCCAGAUUUACAUUUGCAGGAGGAGGAUGAUCUUUUAAUAAUGAAGCAAUGUAUUGAGCAGUACAACAUACCGACUGAGCUCCGGUUUUCAUUGCUAACAAGAAUUAGAUAUGCACAUGCCUUUCGGUCACCCAAGAUAUGCAGGCUGUACAGCAGGAUUUGCCUUCUUGCAUUUAUUGUGCUUGUUCAGUCUAAUGAUGCUAAUGAUGAGCUGGCAUCAUUUUUUGCAAAUGAGCCAGAGUAUACAAAUGAAUUGAUCAGAAUCGUACGCUCUGAGGAAACGAUUCCUGGAACUAUUAGAACACUUGCGAUGCUUGCAUUAGGAGCUCAGUUAGCUGCAUAUUCAGCAUCUCAUGACCGGGCACGAAUUUUGAGUGGAUCAAGUAUUAGUUUUACUGUAGGAAAUCGGAUGAUUCUCCUGAAUGUGCUGCAGAAGGCAGUUCUGUCACUGAAAGGUUCUAGUGAUUCAUCAUCCCUUGCUUUUAUUGAGGCUCUUCUUCAGUUCUAUCUGCUUCAUAUUGUGUCAUCCUCUGCUUCAGGGAGUAAUAUUAGAGGGUCAGGAAUGGUUCCAACCUUUUUACCUCUUUUGGAGGAUUCUGACCCAAAUCAUAUGCAUCUUGUGUAUUUGGCUGUAAAAGCUCUACAAAAGCUCAUGGAUUACAGUAGUUCAGCUGUGUCAUUGCUUAGAGAACUGGGUGGGGUGGAGCUUUUGUCUCUGAGACUACAGAUAGAAGUGCAUAGAAUUAUUGGUGUGUCUGGUGGAAAUGAUAAUUCGGUGGUCAUUGGUGAAUGCUCAAGAUACAAUGAUGAUCAGUUGCAUUCCCAGAAGAGGCUUAUCAAGGUGCUUUUGAAAGCUCUUGGUUCUGCUACAUAUGCCCCUGCAAAUUCUGCCAGAGUACAGAAUCCACAUGACAGUUCUCUGCCUGGGACGCUCUCACUCAUAUAUGGCAAUGCUGAAAAAUUUGGAGGAGAUAUUUAUUACUCAGCUGUGACUGUUAUGAGUGAAAUUAUCCAUAAAGAUCCAACUUGUCUUGCUGCACUUCUUGAACUUGGUCUUCCAGAUGCCUUUUUAUCUUCUGUCUUAUCCGGAGUGCUUCCAUCUUCAAAGGCUAUAACAUGUAUUCCCAAUGGCCUUAGUGCCAUUUGUCUUAAUGCCAAAGGCUUGGAGGCCGUGAAAGAAACAUCAGCAUUGCGAUUUUUGGUUGACAUCUUCACCAGCAAGAAGUAUGUGCUUGCGAUGAAUGAAGCAAUUGUUCCUUUGGCUAAUGCGGUUGAAGAGCUUCUGCGUCAUGUAUCUUCAUUGAGAAGCAGUGGUGUUGAUAUAAUAAUUGAGAUUGUAAAUAAAAUUGCUUCCUUUGGAGACAACAGUACAUGUUCCACAUCAUUAUCUGUUGAAAAAGUUAAUGGGAGUACUGCAAUGGAAACUGAUUCUGAAGACAAAGGAAAUGAAGAGCAUUGCUGUCCUGUUGGUGAACUGGAAUCUGUAACUGAUGGAAUUAGUGAUGAGCAGUUUCUCCAAUUGAGCAUCUUGCAUCUGAUGGUUCUGCUUCAUAGAACAGAGAAUUCUGAAACAUGUCGCCUGUUUGUGGAGAAAUCAGGAAUUGAGGCUUUACUGAAGCUUCUUUUAAGGCCCAGUAUUGUACAGUCAUCAGAGGGGAUGUCAAUUGCUUUACAUAGCACUGUGGUUUUUAAAGGGUUCACCCAGCAUCACUCUGCUCCUCUUGCACGCGCAUUCUGUUCUUCUCUUAGGGAACAUUUAAAGAAAGCUUUGACUGGAUUUGGUGCAGUUUCAGGGUCCUUUUUACUGGAUCCUAGUGUGAUGCCUGAUGAUGGAAUCUUUUCUCCCCUUUUCCUCAUUGAGUUCCUUCUAUUUCUUGCUGCUUCCAAAGAUAAUCGCUGGGUUAGUGCGUUGCUUGCAGAACUUGGAAAUGGCAGCAAAGAUGUUCUGGAAGAUAUUGGUCGUGUCCAUCGUGAAAUUUUGUGGCAGAUUGCUCUCCUUGAAGAUGCCAAGGUUGAAAUUGAGGAUGAUGGUGUGAGCGCUAGUUCUGCUGAGCCUGAGUCACAACAGGGUUCUAGUGCUACCGAUACUGAAGAGCAAAGGAUGAACUCCUUUAGACAUUUCCUUGAUCCAUUAUUAAGGAGGAGGACACCAGGAUGGAGUAUUGAAUCCCAGUUCUUCGACCUCAUAAACCUUUAUCGUGACCUUGGCCGUGCUACCGGCUUUCAACAGAGAUUGCGCAUUGAUGGUUCGAAUGUGCGUUUUGGAGCCAAUCAUUCUACUUCAUCUGAUGCUUCUGGAUCUGUCAGUAAAAAGGAACAUGACAGACAGAGAUCCAAUCACACCUCUUGCUGUGACAUGGUGAGGUCACUUUCCUUCCACAUUACCCAUUUGUUUCAAGAGGUGGGAAAAGUGAUGUUACUUCCAUCGCGUCGUCGGGAUGAUACUGUCAAUGCUUCCCUUGCAUCAAAAUUGGUUGCGUCUAUUUUUGCCUCUAUUGCAUUGGAUCAUAUGAACUUUGGAGGUCAUGUUAAAUCUUCAGGCUCAGAAGCAUCCAUAUCGACAAAAUGUCGCUACUUUGGUAAGGUUAUUGAUUUCAUUGACAGCAUUCUUCUGGACAGGCCCGAUUCCUGCAAUGCUAUAAUGCUAAAUUGCUUAUAUGGUCGUGGAGUUGUUAAAUCUGUUUUGACAACUUUCGAAGCUACCAGUCAAUUACUAUUUGCAGUUAAUAGGGCACCAGCAUCUCCAAUGGAUACAGAUGAUGGUAAUGUAAAGCAGGAUGAAAAGGAAGAUGGAGAUCAUGCAUGGAUUUAUGGUCCAUUGGCUAGCUAUGGUAAACUUAUGGAUCACCUUGUGACAUCUUCUUUUAUUUUGUCUCCAUUUACCAAACACCUGCUCGUGCAACCACUUCUGAGUGGAGAUGUCCCUUUCCCAAGGGAUCCUGAAACUUUUGUGAAGGUGCUUCAAUCCAUGGUGCUUAAGGCAGUCCUUCCAGUUUGGGCAGACCCACAGUUUACCGAUUGCAGUUAUGAUUUCAUCACUACGAUUAUAUCUAUCAUUAGGCACAUUUACUCUGGUGUUGAAGUGAAAAAUAUUUCCAGUGGUAAUAAUGCCCGUGUUACUGGACCCCCUCCAAAUGAAACAGCCAUAGCAACAAUUGUAGAGAUGGGAUUUUCAAGGUCCAGGGCCGAAGAGGCUUUGAGACAAGUUGGAUCUAACAGUGUGGAGUUAGCAAUGGAGUGGUUAUUCUCCCAUCCAGAGGAAAUCCAAGAGGAUGAUGAACUUGCUCGUGCACUUGCCAUGUCUCUUGGGAACUCCGAAACUGACACAAAUGUAGAUGUUACAAAUGACAGUAGCCAACAACUGGAAGAAGAGAUGGCCCAACUUCCCCCUAUUGAGGAGUUGUUGUCGACAUGUACAAAGCUGCUUCAGAUGAAGGAACCUCUAGCGUUCCCGGUUAGAGAUCUUCUUGUGUUGAUAUGCUCCCAAAAUGAUGGUCAAUAUAGGUCCAGUGUCAUUAAUUUCAUUCUUGACCAAGUAAGAGAUUCUAGUUCUGCUUCUGUUAGCAGAAACAAUUCGCUGCUGUCUGCACUUUUCCAUCUUCUUGCUUUAAUUCUUCAAGAGGAUGUGGGGGCACGGGAAAUUGCCUCAAAGACUGGACUCGUAAGACUUGUGACUGAUUUACUUUCAGAAUGGGACUCUGGCUUAGUAGAUAAGGAGAAACCACAAGUUCCAAAGUGGGUAACCACUGCUUUCCUUGCUCUUGAUAGGCUACUUCAGGUGGAUAAAAAAUUAGAUUCUGAAAUUCUUGAGCAGUUAAAAGGGGAUAAUCUUAGUAGCCAACAGAUAUCUGUUAGUAUUGAUGAGGAUAAGAAAAGUAAGCUGCAUUCUUCAUUUGGAUCUCCAAGAAAUAUAGAUAUCUAUGAGCAAAAGAGACUGAUUGAGAUUGCUUGUGGAUGUAUAAGGAACCAGUUUCCAUCUGAAACAGUGCAUGCUGUCCUGCAGCUGUGUUCUACUCUUACUAGAACCCAUUCUCUUGCUGUUUGUUUUCUUGAUGGUGGGGGUGUAAGUUCACUUCUUUCAUUGCCGACAAGUAGUCUCUUCCCUGGGUUUGACAAUGUUGCUGCUAGUAUUAUCCGCCAUGUCCUUGAAGAUCCUCAAACCUUGCAGCACGCGAUGGAAGCUGAGAUAAAGCACAAUCUUGUGGCUAUGGCUAACAGGCAUUCGAAUGGAAGGGUUAGCCCACGCAAUUUCCUGGUCAACCUAAGUUCUGUUGUUUCUCGUGAUCCAGUGAUAUUCAUGCAGGCUGUUAAGUCUGUCUGUCAAGUUGAGAUGGUUGGUGACAGACCUUAUGUUGUUUUGAUUAAAGACCGUGACAAGGAUAAAUCAAAAGAGAAGGAAAAAGGAUCAGAAAAAGAUAAAUCACAGCAAAUUGAUGGAAAGGGUAAUUUGUGUAAUGUGAAUUCUGCAGGUCCUGGGAUCGGACAUGGAAAAUUUAAUGAUUUAAAUUCAAAGUCUGUUAAAAUGCAUAGAAAAUCUCCCCAGAGCUUUGUAAAUGUGAUUGAGCUUCUUUUGGACUUGGUUGUUUCUUUUAUACCUCCCUUGACAGAAGAUAUUAACAUGAAGGCGCAUGGUGAUGCACCACCAUCAACUGAUAUGGAAAUUGAUGUUGCUGCCAUCAAGGGUAAAGGAAAAGCCAUUGCUUCUUUGUCUUUGGAGAAUGAAGUUUCUAGCCAAGAUGUGUCUGCCUCACUUGCAAAGAUAGUAUUCAUCUUUAAACUUUUGACAGAGAUCCUGUUAAUGUACGCAUCAUCUGUUCAUGUGCUGCUUCGCAGAGAUGGUGAAAUUGGUAGCUGUAGGGCCCCUCAUCAAAAGGGCUCAACUGGUUUAACCGGUGGUGGAAUAUUUCACCACAUUCUUCACAGGUUUAUCCCAUAUUCACAGAAUUCAAAGAAGGAAAGGAAAACUGAUGGUGACUGGAGGCAUAAACUGGCAACCAGAGCUAGUCAAUUCCUGGUGGCAUCUUGUGUGCGUUCUGCAGAGGCAAAGAGGAGAGUCUUCACAGAGAUCAAUUGUAUUUUCAAUAACUUUGUUGAUUCCUGCCCUGGUUUCAGACCACCAAGGGGUGAUAUGCAGCAUUUUGUUGAUUUGCUAAAUGAUAUACUAGUUGCUCGUACCCCAACUGGUUCAUGCAUCUCGGCAGAAGCAUCUGCCACUUUUAUAGAUGUUGGUUUGAUCGUGUCGUUAACACGCACCCUUGAAGUUUUGGAUUUGGAUCAUGCUGAGUCACCUAAAGCUGUCACAGGGCUCAUCAAAGCUUUGGAACUUGUAACCAAGGAGCAUGUUCAUUCUGUUGAUUCUUCUGCUAUUAAAGGUGAGAAUUCAGUCAAACCUGCUGAUCGUAAUCAAACUGGGAGAACAGAUAAUAUUGUUGAUGCAUCACAGUCCAUGGAAAUGGCAUCGCAGUCCAAUGAUGCAAUUGCAGCUGACCGAAUUGAAUCUUUCAACAGAGUCCAAAACUAUGGUGGUUCUGAAGCUGUUACAGAUGAUAUGGAACAUGACCAGGAUCUUGAUGGGGGUUUUGCUCCUGCUGCUGAGGAUGAUUAUAUGCAAGAAACCUCUGAGGAUGCAAGGGCUCUUGAAAAUGGUGUAAACAAUGUGGGGAUCCAUUUUGAAAUCCAGCCACAUGAGCAAGAAAACCUUGAUGAUGAUGAGGAUGAGGAUGAGGAGAUGUCCGGAGAUGAUGGGGAUGAAGAUGAUGAUGAUGUACAUCACCUGUCUCAUCCAGACACAGAUCAAGAUGACCAUGAGAUUGAUGAUGAUGAGUUUGAUGACGAAGUGUUGGAGGAUGAUGGUGAUGAUGAGGACGAUGGCGAUGAUGAGGGUGGUGUUAUUCUGCGGUUGGAGGAGGGUACCAAUGGAAUGGAUAUGUUUGAUCGGAUUGAGGUUUUUGGCAGAGACCACAAUUUUGCUGAUGAAACUCUUCGUGUAAUGCCAAUUGAAGUUUUUGGUUCCAGGCGUCAAGGACGCACCACAUCCAUUUACAGUCUUUUGGGGCGGAGUGGUGAGAAUUCAGCCCCCUCGAGACAUCCUCUUUUAUUGGGCCCUUCAUCACUACAAUCAGCCUCUCCAAGGCAAUCAGGUUAUUUUCUGCGUUCUAAUAGUGUACUUGUUUUGGGUUUUGUUGUAAUUUACAAAUUAAUGCUUAUUAAUUUUGUACAUAUGUGCAUCUCUAAUUUUAACAACACUUUCUUCUUUACUUUGUUCCUGUUCAGAAAAUGCCCAUGAUAUGAUUCUCGCAGACAGAAACUCUGAUAGCACCUCAACACGUUUGGAUACUAUUUUCCGGUCUCUUAGGAAUGGGCGUCACAGCCAUCGUUUGAAUUUGUGGGUUGAUGAGAGCCAGCAAAGCAGUGGGUCAAGUGUGGCUACUGUACCACAAGGUCUUGAAGAAUUGCUUGUCUCCCAAUUGAGGCGACCAGGCCCUGAGAAAUCUCCUGAUCAGAAGACAUCAGUAGUGGAACCUCAGAACCAGGUUGAAGGUAGUCAGUUACAGGAACCAGGGACUGGUACAACGCCUGAGAAUCGUGCAGAAAACAAUGUUUAUAAUGAAAAUGCUAAUGCAUCUCUAUCUUCCGAAGCAAUUGGUAGCGCUCUCAAUGCUGAUAGGAGACCUGCAGUAAGUGAUCCUCUACAAGGCACAGAUGCAUCAAGUGUACAUUCGCAAUCUGUUGAAAUGCAAUUUGAGCAAAAUGAUGCAGCUGCUCGAGAUGUUGAAGCAGUGAGCCAAGAAAGUAGUGGUAGUGGGGCUACUUUAGGGGAAAGCCUUCGAAGCCUUGAUGUUGAGAUUGGAAGUGCAGAUGGCCAUGAUGAAGGUGGAGAGAGACAUGGAUCUUCUGAUAGAACUCCUGAACCACAGGUUGCUCGUGCAAGAAGAACAAAUGUUGGUAUUGUGAAUAGUGGCAGAGAUGCCCCGCUUCAUAGUGUUACUGAGGUUUCAGAGAACUCAAGUCGAGAGGCAGAUCAAGAUGGUCCAGCUGCAGAGCAGCAGAUAAAUAGUGAUGCUGGUUCUGGAUCAAUUGACCCUGCAUUUUUAGAAGCUCUCCCCGAGGAAUUGCGUGCUGAAGUUCUUUCAGCUCAGCAGGGUCAAGUGGCACAGCCUUCAAAUUCUGAACAACAGAAUUCUGGAGAUAUAGAUCCAGAAUUUCUUGCAGCCCUUCCCCCAGAUAUUAGAGCUGAAGUCCUAGCACAACAGCAAGCGCAAAGGCUUCAUCAAUCUCACGAACUUGAAGGGCAACCAGUUGAAAUGGACACGGUCUCAAUAAUAGCAACAUUUCCUUCAGAUUUGCGAGAAGAGGUAUAAUUUUUGUUAUUUUGUGGUUCAAUUUUAAGUUGUAAGUCCUGUGUGCCUAAACAUUUUCUUUUUGCUAUAUUUUAUCCUCAGGUUCUCCUAACGUCAUCUGAUGCUAUUCUUGCUAAUCUCACUCCUGCACUUGUUGCGGAGGCGAACAUGUUGCGCGAGAGAUUUGCGCAUCGCUAUCAUAAUCGUAGCUUGUUUGGAAUGUAUCCUAGGAAUCGCAGAGGUGAAUCUUCUAGGAGAGGCGAAGGUGUUGGAUCCAGCCUGGACAGAAUGGCAGGAAGUAUUGUGUCCCGCAGAUCUGUUUCUGCUAAGCUAAUUGAAGCUGAAGGAGCGCCUCUGGUUGGCACAGAAGCUCUCCGAGCAAUGGUUCGGAUACUUCGCAUAGUUCAGGUGUUCCCUUAGCAGGUUAAUUUUUCCUUUUGGUUCUUGAUUUUGAUCUAUGCAUUAACACAUUAAAACCUGCAGCCACUCUAUAAAGGUUCGUUGCAGAAGCUGCUCUUGAAUUUAUGUGCUCAUAAUGAAACAAGAAAAGCGCUAGUUAAAAUCUUGAUGGACAUGCUGAUGCUUGAUACAAGAAAGCCUGUCAAUUAUUCAAAUGCAAUUGAACCUCCUUACAGGCUUUACGGUUGCCAGAAUAAUGUUAUGUAUUCUCGUCCUCAACAUUUUGAUGGUAAGAUUUGGAACAGAAGAAUUCACAGUCCCUGGUGAUUCAAUAUGGCUUAUCUUAAGAACUUCACUUUUGUCUCUACCUAUUUUAAUUCUUUUUAUUUUUCAUCAGUUGAAUAUAUAUAGUUUUAUAGUUUGGUCAUCAUCUGACUUGUAGCAUUCAGGUUUGAAGUGAUUUUCUUCUAUUUUAUCCUUUUCUUUCUAGGAGUUCCUCCUUUGGUGUCUAGGCGAGUGCUUGAAACUCUCACUUACUUGGCUCGAAACCAUCCAUAUGUUGCGAAGAUUUUACUUCAGUUCAGGUUGCCUCUUCCUAUCUUACAAGAGCAAAGGAAUAUUGAUCAGUCACGUGGAAAAGCUUUGAUGAAUGAGGUGCAGCUGGAAGGAUUCAGUUCUAUUGCAUUGCUUCUGAGCCUUCUCAAUCAACCCCUGUACUUGAGAAGUAUAGCCCAUCUUGAACAGGUAACAUGUGACAACCCUAUUAUAAAUAUGUAAAGCAAUUUUAUGUCUUUUUGUUCAGUUUGCUCAUUUCUGGUUUUUGCCCCAGCUGCUUAACUUGUUGGAUGUCAUUGUUGACCAUGUGGAAAGGAAGUCCCUUUCAUCUGAGAAAUCGAAAGCAUCUUCCACUGAACAAGUACCUGCUUCACGAAUUUCAUUGGCUGAUGCUGACACCAGUGCGGAGAAGGCUCCUUCUGAUGUUGAAUCACAAUUGAAGGCUGUUGACUGCUCCAUACCUUCAACAUCUGAUUCAAGUAAUGAAUGUGAUCCGCUCAGUAUACUGACCAAUCUCCCACAAGUGGAGCUCCGACUUUUAUGCUCAUUGCUUGCACGGGAAGGGUAAGUUAUAUGUCUAACAAUGUAUCGGUUUUAGCAGUUUCCUCAAUGAGAAGUUCGUCUUUCCUCUGUUUCUUUAUUAUGCUUCAAUUGAAGAAGGGUCCUCUUUUUUCAUUUUCUGUGACCAGUGGAAUUAUGGGAUUUUGCACUUGCUAUGUUUAUUAUCUUUCCAUUGUCAAAUUUCAAUAUGAUUUAGUGCUUUUUUCCCAUUUGCUCAGUCUGAUGUUCUGUUCCCCUCCCAGAUUGUCAGAUAAUGCAUAUGGCCUGGUUGCUGAGGUAAUGAAGAAGUUGGUUGCAAUUGCUCCUAGCCACUGUCAUCUGUUUAUUUCUGAGCUAGCAGAUGCUGUACAAAAUCUGAUUAAAUCUGCCAUGGAUGAGUUACGCAUGUUUGGAGAAGCUUUGAAAGCUUUACUCAGCUCAAUAUCUUCUGAUGGAGCUGCAAUUUUAAGGGUCUUACAGGCACUGAGUUCUCUUGUUUCUUCAAUAACUGAGAGAGAAAAGGAUCUGCAGCUGCUUCCUGAAAUAGAGCGUUCUACUGCUCUUUCUAAGGUGUUGGACAUUAAUGCCGCCUUAGAACCUUUGUGGACAGAGUUGAGUACUUGCAUAAGCAAAAUAGAGAGCUAUUCAGAUUCUGCACCAGAUUUAUUAGCUCCUUCGAGAACGACCACAACACGUUCUGGUGUAACACCACCCCUUCCUGCAGGCACUCAAAACAUCUUACCAUAUAUUGAAUCCUUUUUCGUGAUGUGUGAGAAGUUACAUCCUGCACAGCCAAGUUCUGGUCAAGAUUUUAGCAUGGCUACACUUUCCGAUGCUGAGGAUGCCAGCACAUCUUCUGGCCAGCAGAAAACUGCUUGUCCUGUCUCAAAAUUUGAUGAAAAACAUGUUGCCUUUGUGAAGUUCUCUGAGAAACAUCGGAAGUUGCUAAAUGCUUUUAUCCGUCAAAACCCCGGGCUGCUUGAGAAGUCAUUUUCACUCAUGCUGAAAGUUCCCCGCUUUGUUGAUUUUGAUAAUAAACGUGCUCACUUCAGGUCUAAAAUAAAGCAUCAACAUGAUAAUCAUCACAGUCCUCUGAGAAUAUCAGUUAGAAGGGCUUACAUUCUUGAGGAUUCAUAUAACCAACUGCGGAUGCGGACAACUCAAGAUUUGAAGGGGAGAUUAACUGUUCACUUCCAAGGAGAGGAAGGUAUUGAUGCGGGUGGGCUUACAAGGGAAUGGUAUCAGCUCUUGUCCAGGGUUAUAUUUGACAAAGGAGCUUUGCUUUUCACUACUGUGGGUAAUGAGUCCACAUUCCAGCCUAACCCGAACUCAGUCUACCAAACAGAGCAUCUUUCAUACUUCAAAUUUGUUGGGCGAGUUGUGAGUACCUUCUCUGGUUGCUUUUUUUGGAUUGAAUCUUAUUUUUUUGGAUAAAGUAAUUUUCAUUUUUCUAAAAGCAAAGUAUGCAACUCCUCUUUUUCAUUUGGGUCUGACUUUUGUUUCACUUCCUAAUCAAAAUUUUAAAGGUCGGCAAAGCACUUUUUGAUGGGCAACUCUUGGAUGUCCACUUCACUCGAUCUUUCUACAAGCAUAUCUUGGGGGCGAAAGUUACUUAUCAUGACAUUGAAGCAAUUGAUCCUGAUUAUUUCAAAAACCUAAAGUGGAUGCUUGAGGUCUGUCUUUUUUCUGUUAUCUUUUCCUCUUUUUCUCUUAUGAGGGAGAGGGAGGGAGCUUUUAGUUUGUUAGCUAUUAUCUUUCUCAGUCCAUUAGAUAAUUGUUUUGCAUUUCUUUUUUUCUCCUUUCCUUAUUUGUUUCUCCAGAAUGAUAUUAGUGAUGUCCUGGGCCUUACUUUUAGCAUUGAUGCUGAUGAGGAGAAGCUGAUAUUGUAUGAAAGGACACAGGUAAGUGUUUUGAUUGAUCUUUUCAAGAAACCCUUUGUGGUGACAUUUCUUUUUUGGUUAUAAAUUUAUGAUUUAUAUUCUACGAAAUAUGGUGCAGGUGACUGACUAUGAGCUGAUUCCUGGUGGUCGGAACAUUAAAGUUACUGAGGAGAAUAAACACCAAUAUGUUGACUUGGUUGUUGAGCAUCGUCUGACAACAGCUAUCCGUCCUCAAAUAAAUGCAUUUCUGGAAGGAUUCAAUGAAUUAAUUCCUAGGGAAUUAAUUUCUGUUUUUAAUGACAAGGAGCUGGAGUUACUGAUAAGUGGUCUUCCUGAUAUUGAUCGUAAGUGUUUAUAAACCAAUUUAUUUAAAUGUUAAUUACUUGAUGAUAGAAUGCUUUAUUUUGCCUACCAUUAUUUUAAUAUGACAUGAUCUCAAUAACUCUCUCCUAGUGGAUGACAUGAGGGCAAAUACGGAGUACUCUGGUUAUAGUGCAGCAUCACCUGUUAUUCAGUGGUUUUGGGAGGUUGUUCAGGGGUUCAGCAAGGAGGAUAAAGCUCGGCUUCUACAGUUUGUGACAGGCACCUCAAAGGUAAUUCAACGCCUGAAAUUGUAGUUAAUACUACUUUUAAGUUAGCAUUUCAGGUUGUUAUCUACAGUUCAACACAAAUCAAAUUAUUAAAUGCCUGAACUAAGGUUCAGAUAAGAUAAACAGGUUUUGAUUUACUGUGAAAUUGUGCAGCUGUUUAACUCUUCUAGCAUGUAGCAUAGCUCUAUAUUAGUUCACUAAGAUAAACCGAGCUUAGCUUAGCUGACUGAUUGAUUCAUGCAACCAUCUGCAAUUCAUUCUCCUAUUCCCAAACCGCAGCCUCCUUUGUAUAAAAAUAAUAACAACAAUAAUAGUAGUAGCUUUUGAUUCAUAACCAGUCUCAAAUCUCAGUCGUUGCUCGAUAUAAUUUCACAGGUGCCAUUAGAAGGCUUUAGUGCACUUCAAGGAAUUUCAGGUUCUCAGAAGUUUCAGAUACACAAAGCAUAUGGCAGCCCUGAUCACUUGCCUUCUGCUCAUACCUGGUAAUUCUAUGUAUUUGGUUAAUUCUGCAACUUAAUGAUUUUAUCUUUUCUGCGAGUUUUCUUUCAUUUGCUUUGCAAUUUUCAGCUUUAGAUCCUUCUCCCUUAACAAGGAGCAUUAUACUUCAUGAUUAUUGCAGUUUCAAUCAAUUGGAUUUGCCCGAGUACCCAUCUAAGGAACAUCUAGAAGAGAGAUUGCUACUCGCAAUUCAUGAGGCCAAUGAAGGGUUUGGAUUUGGUUAAAGAUGGGAAGCGGUGAUCAGAGUCAUCUUGUAGAUAAAGCUACAUAUAUACAUAAGAUGCAUAUGGGGAUCUUGUUAUGAGGGUAUAAGGGGCUAGGCAAUUAGUACAUAUUUAUAUGCUGUACAGUCGCAUAUUGGCUACUGUAAUUGCUCUGGCAGUUUUAAAUUUGCCACCGUUGUCGUUCCAUUUAAAUCUGCCUUGGAAGUAGAGGCUCGUUAACGAUUCAUCACAUUGUUGAGUCUUUCCUUUGUUGAGACCCUCUUUGCAGGUAGUCUUUUCUAUUACAUUUUAGGUUGUACAAUAAUUGCAUCAAAUUAGUUUAUUGCUACCAUGUUUUGGUUAGUAUUUUUUCUCUUGCCUUUUCUAUUUAUUUGUUUUGUUAAACGAGUUUAAUUGUUUUGGUAACGAAACACCACUGUGCCUUGAUUAAUUUUUUUUAAUAAAAGAUGAUUCAUUUACUGAAAAGUCUUUUAAGUGAUUUAACAAGAGCCCUUAAUUGAAAACAAUAGGCUCCUUCCCUAAUAGGAAGGAAGCAAUCAAUUGACCCUUGAAUCAAAUCCUAGUAUGAAUUUUUUUUCUAAAUUGAACUAAUGGAAGUAGAUAUCAUGAUCCCAAACCCUUGAUCUAGAGAAAUCCUAAAUUAUUCAUUGAUAGAAAUGUUCUUAGCCUGACUGAUACUUCUCAGUUCGUCCUUAAACCUUAUCCCUAAAACGCAAAAUUUACUGCAAAGAGAACCCUUCAGCCCACUACUUCAGCCAAAUCCUGUGAAUCGAAACUAUUUUUGCUCUUAAUCCUUUGAAUCCACAGCCAUUUCCAUACCCUUGCUUACAUUGCUGGUGGUCGUAUAUGCAAAAGAAGAUAACAGGUAUGGUUUUUUUCCCAUUCUGGUUCUUGCAUCUUGCAUCUUGCGUCCUGAAGGGUUUAGGGAUAUUUCCCUUUAUUUCUGUGGGUGUUUUUUUUCUCUAAUUUGUCCAGUAUAUAUACAUUGUUGAUGAGGCUGAUGCCUGUUCAAUAUAUAAUUUUAGGGCUAUUUUUUAAUUUUUGGUUGUCAGAUAAGGACUGUAAAAUCCUUUAGGGAGUCGGUAUUUAGAAUUUGAAUUUGGAUUAAAAAUAGUGUAAAUCAGGUAGUAAAAAAUUUAGAAAUAUAUGAUUUAUGAUGAUUUCUUAAAUUCAUGGAUUUAUUAGAAUCUCAUUUAGUAAUGAAUUUGAGAUCUUUAAAAUAUUUUUAAAUUUGAUAAAUCUACUUUUUUAUACUUUUCUAAUGUUAUAAAUCUACUUUUUUAUACUUUUUUUAAUGUUAUAUUAAACCUCAAUUAAUUUAUUCAAUUUAUUUUUACCAUUACCAUAAUAAUUAAAAUUUAAAUUCAAGUUUUUAAAUCUAAACUUUUAUGAAAUUUGGGUUUGAAUGUUUAUUUAAACCCUAUUUUUUUUGGAGAAAUAAACAAAUAAAAUGAAUAUGAAGAUAUUAGAUGAAAAUACAUCUUUGCUUGGGAUGAAUAAAGAUGAAGACAACAAUUAUGAAAUGUUAGAACCCUUGCACGAUAAAAACAACCGUUUUGGAUUUCAGUGUAUUUUUCACUUUUUAACUAUUUUUUAUAAUGAAAUUGUUCCGUCAUCAUUUAAUUACUUGUUAGGGGUGUAACAUAUCACAACCUACACCAUUCAAAUUUUUAAGUCAACAAAAGAUAAUUACUUAUUAGGGGUUUAUACAAUUAUAAUUUAAGCGGUUAAUUGAUUGUUUAUAUUUGAUUAGAGAUUCAAUUGAAUCUAAUUUUUUAUUAAAAACUUAAUUGAUUGUUAAUUUAUUUUAUAGGAAUUUAUCGCUUUAUUAAACGUAAAUAAAUGCUAAUCUAAAAUUGAAAAGUUUACCAUACUUUUUAACACAUAAAUUUUGAAAUAUGAUUUAGCCAACCUGAAAAUGAUAAUGUUGAGGAGGAUUUAAUUUUAAAUGAAUGAAAGAAAAAACAAUUAUGACAUGUUUGGUUGAGAGAAUUGGAAUAGUGAUUUUUCUCAUAGUUAAAUAAUCAUUCAAGAUUCUAAAGUAAAAAGUAAAAGAAAAUAAGUACUUUAAAAAUAGGUAAACUAGAAGGAAAAAAAGGCUAAAAAUAAAAAAAGCGAAUCAAAUAUGAUUUUAAUUCUGUUUAAUUGGUAGUUUAAAUGCAAAAUAAUUUAUGUUGUGGAAUUCAAAAAUCAUACUUAAAUGCACGGUUUAUAUUAAUCUUGAUCGUUUAUAAAUGUCAAUCACUAGAAGUCGUCUAAUGCAUUAGCAGUUAUAUGAUUUAUCCCGCACAAAGCAAGAUUGACAAUUGUAUAAAAUCUUUACCUCAUUAAGCAUAAAAAAUGAAAACGAUAUAUAAAGUUCUUUUUUUUUCUUUCAAGAGAAACAAUGAAGUAGCCUUAUUCUCCAUCCAAAGUUGCCCGGGUCCGAAAUUUAUGCCUAUUGUGCUAUGAAUGCCUAAAAAAAUUACUCUGUAUAAAUUUUUAAACCAAAGAAUUAAACAAAAAAAACUCUUUGAGAGAGGAAGAUCAUAAAAAGAACGAGACGGAAUCACAGAAUUGGAAACCAAAAAUAUGAGGAAUGAACUAUUGAAAAAAGGAGAGUAAAAAAACAUUCACACUAAAAGGUAAAAGAGAGAGCAUGCAUUAAACACCAGUCAUAGCAUAUAUAUAUAUAUAUAUAUAUAAGAGAAUUACAAUUUAGUACAAAUAUAUAUCUAAUCAACUAUAAUAUAAAAUAAAUGUAAGAUAGAGAUUCACACUUUACGUUUGCGCAAAGAGAGUCUCAAUGACUCAAAGCCUCCAUCUUAACCAACAAGCCAAUGACUCAUUGACAAACAAUGGCAAAUCCAGGAGAAGCUGGCAGGGGGCCCAGCUCCCCCUAAAAUAGAAAUUUUCUCUUUAGGGUCUUUAUAAUUUUAAAUUUAUAAUUAUAAAAUUACAUUUUGAUCCCUCAAAACGAUAAAAAUUUGAUUUAACUAUUUAAAAAUUAUAAAGAUAUAAGUUAUUAAAAUAGUGAAAUCAUAUUUUUACUAUUAAAAAUAUAUAAUUUAAUUUCGGCUCCCUCAAAAUUUUUUUGGUUGACAAACUAUAUAUUAUAAUAUAUAUUUUAAUAUUAAAUAUAGAUUUUAAUGUUAUUUAAAUGUUUAAAUAUAUUACAUAUGAUUCUAUAAUGGUGUUAUAUUGUAGACUUGUCCACAAGUUUGUAGACUAUCAGAUUUGGUAGGCAUAGUUUGAUUGGGCUUGGAAAAUAUACUUAUUAUUUUAAAUAAAUUCAGUUUAAUCCGAAUUUGAAGUAAAUAAUAAAGAAAUAAUUUUUAUUAAUAUAAUUAUUAAAAAAUUGAAAUUAGAAAAAAAUUAAACUAGGGAUAAAUAACAUUUAAAAUGUUUUUAAAAUCUUUAAAACUUAUCUAUUUCUCUAAAAAUAUAUAUCCACUUAGUGGUUCACGGAAAGAUAAAUUCUACUUUUAAUUAAACUACUCUUAUUAUUUAACUUUUCAUCAAUAACAACUUAUCUGAUUUUUCUUAAACGUUUACAAUACCCAAAAAUAAAUUUCAUUUAAAAAUCAAGCUUUUAUAUUAAAUUCGGAUCGAAUUAAGCUAUUUCCGUUAACUAAAAUAAUUAAUUAAGCCCUUUCUUUAAUGAUUUUUGUAAUUGAUCACAUUGACUGUGAAAAUAAAUUAAUAAAUCAAUUAAAUAGUAACAUGUGGCAAGUUUUGAUUUUAUCUAAUAUUUUUCUCAUGAAUUUAAUUAUAAAAAUUAUAAAAAGUCAUAAAAAAUUAUCAAAAACCAUAUAAAAUUAUAAAUAAUCAGAUAAAAUUAUCAAAAAUAAUAAUAAUUACUAAAUAUGAAAUUUGAUAUAAACUUAUAAAAAUUAUAAAAUAUUAUAAAAUAUUAUAAAAGAUAUAAAUAAGUCUAAUAAAUAUAAUUGUAAAAAAAUAUAAAAUUAAUAAAACAUAUUUGAAAUAUUUUAAAAAUAAAAACAAAUUAAAAUUCUAAAAAAAUCAUAUAAAUUAUUAAAAAAUAUCAAAAUUUUUAAAAUCGAUAUAAACUUAUAAUAACUAUAAAAAACCAUAAAAACUUAACUGAGACCGGACUAGUUGAUUGGAUUGAAAUUGAUAAGGGUAUCGAUUCAAAGAAUUAGACUAGUCGACCUAGUAACCAGGUUGAAUCGAUUUUUUUAAUAUGUUUUUAUUUUUUUAUUAUUUUUUAACAUUUUACUUAUUUGAACAAAACAAAUCAAUAAAACUAGCAAACUGAUGGCCUAAUUGGUUCAACCACUAGUUUGCUUCUGAAAAGCAUAUGUCAGAAUUAAAAAUUCUGACAUAUGCUAAUAGUUGAAUGAUGAAAUUUUGGUUUGGUCUAAUGGCUUUCUUCGAACCAGUACUUUUGUCGAUUUUAGGCCAAUCAGUCCAACCCAAGUUUUUAUAAUUUUUAUAAGUUUAUAUCGAUGUUAAUAUUUUUAGUAUUUUUCAAGAAUUCUAAUAUGUUUUUUUAUUUUAAAUAGGUUUUAUAUAGUUUAUUAGAUUUUUUUAUAUUUUUAUAAUAUUUAUAAGUUUAAUAAGUUUAUGCAAAAUUUAAUAUUUUUAAUAUUUAUUUAUUAUAAUUUUUCUUAUUUUCAAUUUUUUAUACAAAAACUAUUAUAUUAAAUUAGAAGUUGUCACGUGUUAUCAUCUAUUUGGUCCAUCAAUUUAUAUUAAUGGUUAACGGAAGAAUUUAAUUAAUUAUUUAAAUUAACGAUAGGGCCUAAUUAAGUGUGAAAUUAAUAUAGAGGCUUAAUUUUUUUUUACAUUUUCUUAAACUACUUUUUUAUAUAUAAGUUCCUUUUUUAAUUACAGAUAUCAUUGUUUUAAAUAUCAUUAAUUAAUUAUAAAUUAAAUAGUUUUCAUUCAAAAUUGAGGCCCAAGCCCCAAAGGUGGAAUCUUUGGUUUGAAAGUUAACUUGGGGGUUAAUUGUGUCAUUUGGCAAGUGAGAUGAGAGCAUUUUAGUCUUUUCGACGUGGAGGAGAAAAAACCCUAGCACUAGCACUUCGCAAUUCAUGCUCCUAUAUAUAUCCGCUAAGGGUCUCCUCCUACCACGCAGCCUAAUUAAGUUGUAGAAGAAGGGAGGUAGCUCUUUUGAUCGUUUUUUCAUUGAUGAUUGUUUGUGUUAGGCUUUAGAUAGUUUUUGAAAAUUUGGGGAAAAAAAAGUUUUCGUUUGUCCUGUGUACAAUAAGCCGAUGCUCUGGAAGAAAAAAGAAAUGAAGGUAGCAUGGUAGUGUGCACAGAAACUGAAUCUUACGAUGGGACGACAUGUCUGCUCUCUCUGAACCUCAUUUCUAUUGGGGCUUUGAUGAGGGGGCCUGGUUUAGUCCCACAUUUAUUUAUUUUUUCUUCAGUUAUUAUACUCUUCAGCCGUUCUUUUCUUUUAUCUAUUUUUUUAAAAUCUGGCUGUUGACGAUUUUUAUGGUUGGUUUGAGUGAAUCUUUUUAUAAUUUGGGUUUUUUUAUGCGAUUAAAUUUAGCAGAAGGGGUUUGAAUUGUCGAUGUGUCUUGUCAAAAUGCUCUUUUUUUUAUGGAGCCAUGUCUAGCUUCUGAGAAAUUUGCUUUUUCUAGUUUUUCUCCCGUAUUGAAAAUAAAUUACUGACGAAUCGUGCCUUAAUAUAGCUUAAGUGCGAAACCUACAAAUGUAACCUAUUUGCUUUUUUUCGUAAGGGGUAUGAAUGGUCACGCUUUGAGCUCGUGAUGUCAACCACUGAAUGUGAGCCAAUAUUAAAUAUUAAAGAAAAUAUAAAGUAGACUAUUUAGAUCAGAUAAACCUAUAAAUAAUUUUUUAGAUUCCUGCUUUACAGUCUUCCCAAGGUCUCUUGUGUGCCUGUAAUCGAUAAAUGGAUUUAUUUUGCACUUAGAAGUUGAAAAUUUGUUGAAUUUUUAUCAAAAAAUUAGUCAGCUUAUGACAUCCCGGAUGCCAAAUUGAUCCGACCCUAAUUAUCAAACAGGGGAACCUAAAAAAAGAUCUGGGCAGUCCCAGGUGAUCAAAUGUGUUGACUGUUAAAUGUGUUGAUUUACUUGAAAAUAAGAUGCAAUUUCAGGUUUAACAGAUCAAGCGAUGAUUAAAGAACAAAAGCAGAAUGUCUUAGCCUCCAAACUGAGAAAAAAGCAAGCUUUUUUUGAAAUUAUAUUAUAUUAUGAAUUAUUAACUUGUGAACGUUAGAGCUAACAAUCAUUUGGAACAAAUCUACGAAGGAAAGAGAGGAAGAAAAUCUCAAUUGGUCCAUCGGUUAAACAUUUUUAUCAAGUUAAAGAUUUUAUAAACAUUUUUUAUAUUAAUUUGAAAAUAUUUUUAAUUUAAAAAAUGCUUCAAAAAUAAUUUUAAUAUUUAUAAAAACUUUAAAUAAAAUCAUUUAAAUUAUUAUAUAACAUAACCUCCAACAAAUUUUUUUAAAUCUACUAAUCAUUUUAAAAGUAAAUUUUUAUAUAUUCAAUAAAUAUAUACUUUUCACUUGAUGUUUUUCUAUUGGUAAUAUCAAAACUUAAAAUUUUGAUUCAAUGUAGAAAUUUGAUUUUAUGCAAGAAUAUUUUUUUAUUGAGAAAACAAGUGGCUAACCGCUUAGAGAUGUAGGCUCUUGAUCUUGUUAUUCCAGUAAUAUUAUCAUCGAUUAAUCUCAUGAGAGUAUGAAGAGGGAUCCUAAUAUUUUCCAUUACAAACCCUUGUCUUUGCGCCCAAGCAAUAAAGAAAUCGGUACAGCAAUUUCUCUUGAAAAAUGUGAAAAUAAUAUCAAAUAAUACAAUAGACUAAAAUUCAUGUAUAAAUUUGAUAUUUAUCAUAUAUAUCAAUCAAUCAAGAGAAAUGAUUAUACUGGAUUAUAUAUUCUCAGUACUAAAAACACUUAAAGCUAAAAAAGGAAGAAAAAUAGAACAAUCAUGUCAAAAUCAUUUCCGACCAUCAUCUUAACCACAUUUUCAACUUAUUGCUACUCUCUCUGGGCUCUUUACCCUGAUCCCAGUUGAUUCUAUUGCCGGUGAAGCUUUUCUCAACACUAUUUACCGAUUUCCCACUCCUUGUAAUCCUACAUGGCCACUGCUCAAUUUGCCUUGCUUUGUUUGUUUCACUCCAUACCUUCUUCUCCACGAAAGCAGACGAUAGCAACACAUUGUUCUCAAUCCCUUUGCUCUCGAUCUGUCUUUUCCUUCUCAACUCUCUAAGCGACUCCGUUCCUUUCAACAAGUCUGACCCCAUCUCAUUCAUCCUUCUCCCAUUUGAGUUUAAGCUCCUUCUAGUUGUAGGAUUCAUGCCAUAUAUGGUUUCAAUGGGUGUGACUUGUGAUUUCUCUGCAGAAUAUGAUAAUCCCGGUCGCAUUGUCUGUUCCUGGUGUUGCCUCAACUUUUGUUCAAGUUCAUUACCCUAACAAUUUCACGUAAAAGGGUUAGUUUCCGACUCUAGGAUCCUAAAUUUUAUUUCCCAAGUUCAGAAAAAAAAACAACAUUUAAGAUGGAAAAAAGAACCUUUUGUUGUGAUCCUCCACUUUCUCUUUCCAUUUUCAACUUGUUUUCGAGUUCUUUAACCUGUAUCAAUAGAAUCAUAUCAGAUGGCCGGGGAGCAGUGAUGAGGCAAUAAUGGUUAAUACAAGGAAAGAAACGGACUGCCAUAAAUAACAUCAUUUGCAAUUAGUGGUUGAAUUGAACAAUGGGAAAGGGGAAAAUAUUUGGCUAAAUGCUUAAAUUAGGCUCAACCUUUAUGUUGCUCACAUAAGGGCCACACCUUUCAAAUGAUCAUAUAAGGGCCUCACCUUUACAAAAGUGUUAAAAUAAGGACUUUCCACACACUUCAAUUCAAUUUGUAAUAAAAAUUAAAUGAAUAUUGAUGUGUUUAGGAUAAAACACAUAAAAGUUGAGUUCAACAGUGCUUAAAAAAAAAAUCUUAUUUGAGCACUUUCGAAUAUAUUUGGCCCUAGGUUAGACCCUUAGAUGACCAUUUUGAAUGGUUAAGUACUUAUGUGAGCAACCCCUAAAAGGUUGGCUCCAAUUUGAGCAUUUAGCCAAAAUAUUUUGAUAUUUAAGUCAAACAUUUUCGUUAGUUACAAUUACCUUCUGUUGAAGCGUCCCUGAAUGAAGCUCAAAUUCCCGUGUUCUCUCUUUCAAAAUGUCUUCAAGCUUCUUCACCUGUGAAAUUAUACAAUCAAAUGAAUUUAAAAACCUCUUGAUAAAUUAGUAUUGAUGCUAAGUUUUCCAUAUAUUCAAUAUCGGAUAUCAAAUUUAAUCAACUUAUUUUUACUCAACAAAGUUAAAAUGUCAAAGUUUCAUUUUAAGCAAAACCUUUCUCUGUAGAGACAAGGAUGCUGUCUGAUUCUGAACAUGCUCUUUCAGUUUGUUCUCGAGCUCCACAACCUGCGGUGAAAAUACAAGUCAAAACUGGCAUUUGGUUGAUUUGAAGGCAAAAUAAAGUAAAAAGAUAGAGAACUAAAAUUUUCAGAUGACAAUCAACCUUUAGCUGGGAAUUUGAGCAAAUUUCUUCCUUUUCCAUCAUUCUUUCUGAAAGUUGCCACAACUGCCUCUCUAAUUGUUUACAUAACUCUGCCUUGGAUGAAAGCUGGUUUUCAAGUUCAUUGAGCUUUUCUUCUUGGGUUUUGCAAAGUUGACCCUUAGCUUUGGCUUUAUCCUCUAAGUUGUGAAAGUUCUCCACUGACUUUCUUAAAGCGUCAUCUUUCGAUUUCAAUUCUUGCUUGGCUUUGUCAAGCUUCAAUAGUUCAACAGGAAGACGAGGCAAAAAAAGGUACAUGUUUAGGUUUUGGUUCCGAAAGAUAUUCACUUCAAGUUCUAGUUUUGUGUUAGAUUCGGUAAAUUUAGCAAUCAGCUUACCAUCUGUUUCAACUUUUGAAGCUCAGCGGUGUCAACCUGUUUCUUUGUUGGACCCAACUCCACUCCUCGGACCCGACUUGCAAAAUUUAAUGAACUUAGGGUCUCACCUAAGUCCUGCUCCGAAGGGCUGAUUUGUACAAACAUCAAGGUUUUAGAAUCGCCUCCUACAGCAGAUUAAUAAAGGCUUUUGAGAAAGGUCGAUGAUACUUUCAAUUCCUCCAUAUAAUAAAACUAAUAAUCCAUCAAUCAUGGUUAAGUGCACCAUAUUCUAUAACAAAAGCGUUCCCUUUUGAACUCUGAACAUUCUUCUAAAUGUGUUCAUACAUAUGCAAGUACGUAAUGAAUUCUUUCUGAAGUCUAUAUUUGAACGUUUUCAGAGUUGACUAAUAGGAUAUUCGAAUAGGAAACUCCUUCCAUGUGCUUGCUUACCUAAGGAAUCUUGGAGUAGAUGUGUGAGCUUGGAAUUCCUGCAAAACCCAAAUAGAUAUCAAAACCAGUAAUAUACAUCUAGGAUACAAUGAGAUAAACAGCAAACCUAUAUGGGAUGUGGCUGCUUUUGUUUGCCAAAGCAGAAAUCACAUCUCCUAAAGCAGAAAGUGAUCUGUUGAUAUUUUGGGCUUCCUUAAGCCGAUCUCCUUGCACUUCAGUUUUUGCUAGCCUUUCACUACCGGCCAAAUCCACAAGCCAUAAUUUGCUCUUGGUGCACUCACCAGUGAUCAAAUUCUUUGCUUUAACUAAUAUGCAUAGCAUGCUGCAAAAACAAUACAUAUAUGCAAGCCUCAAAUGAUAACUUCUAUUGUAGCAUAUAAAUUCUUUCCUUUUAUCAUUUUAUACAGAUACGAAGAACAUUUGUAAAACUAGAACAGAAACGAAAAUGGUUAUUACAGACCCUUGCAUAAUAUGGCAAAGUCAAAGACAACUAAUUUUGCUUGCCGUCUUGAGCAAAAACCAGAGUUAAUCAUAACAAAAGGAAAGUUUUGGUGAUACUAACCAGUGAGAUCGGCUACUAUGCUCAUUCACAUUGUUUGACCCUAUAGCUCUUGCAUUGUUUCCAGCCUGUAGCACAUUCCAAACCUCCUUAAUAUUUUCAACUUUAGCCUCCACUAUCCCAGGAACAUGAUGAAACCCCUCUGAAGCUUGCCUUAUCCCCAACCUUGAAUAAACCGGACCAAUCAAUGGCAAUUCUUACACUCACAACAGAAAUACACCAAGCCAAACUAAAUCGUAAAUAAGAAUAAGAUUUUGAUUUUACCUUUUUGAUGCUGGUUCAGUUGCAAGCAAGUCUCUGAUUUGCUCGUUGUAGACUUCAAGUACACUGACAGAUAUACUAAAGGUAGAAAUUUCUUUCCGCUCUUCGAUUAAUUUAAACAACUGCUCUAAAGUCCUAUAGUUGACUCCUCGAUUUUGUCCUGUACCUUCCAUGGUAAAAGUCUUCCCAGUUCCUGUCUGCCCAUAUGCAAAUAUACAGACAUUGUAACCAUCUAAAACCGAAGUUACCACUGGGGAAGCAUCUGCAAACACCGAAACUGUAAAAGCAUAAAAGUUUCGAGUUAGAGUAUGUUCUCAUAUCCUUAUCCACAACUGUACCAUAACUCAGUCAAACUAUAGGGACUGACUUUUUUUCUUUUUUGCUGCAAACCUCCACAGUCAGAAAUCAAUUCCUCUGAAGUAUGCAUUAUGCAAAUUUCUGACUAGGCGAUAAAAUGCAGUAAUCACAUUUAAGCAGGAAAGACAGCUGAAGGAGGAAAAAUAAGCUGACCUAUCGGGAUAAAUUUUCCAAAAUAGUAACAAAAAAUUAAGCUAAACUAAAUUUAUUUAUGAUAUGUGCUGUUCAUUAAACUAUUAAAUAUAGCAUAAACUCAGAUCAGGUAUGCUUGAAGAGAAGCUAAUUCUUUAGUGUUGUUAUUGAGAAAGCAAAUGCAGCACAAUACCUUGAUCAUCCUUAGGUGUAUAAACUCGAUCAAAUUUGAAAAUUUUCUUCAUGGAGCUUCCUGUAAGUAUCCCUAUAUCUCCAUCCUUAGCUGCAGUAAAAUCUACAAUCGUUGUAUGCCCAGCUGAAGCCUCGUCAUCUCUUAAUGGACGGCACCUACAGAACACUCUGAUCUUUCCUGCGAUAAAAUAACAAAGCUGGGAUUAGGUUCAAUCCACACUGCAAACAUUGAAAAUUCGAUGUUAAAUUUUUGAACAUCAAAACAUGCCUUUUGCUUCCUGUAUCUGGUUAUGUAGCUUUUUCCUCAUUGCCUGCUCCUCAUUGAGCCUUAGUUUUAGGUCUUCACACUGUGCCACUGCAGUUUAGAUAGAUUAUGAAGAUGUAGAGAUUCUUACCAAAAAAAAGUUGCUUGGUGAUACAUACAUACCCAGUGCUUGAACAGCAAAUAUCAUCUUGUUUAAUUCUGGAAUUGAAUCAGCACAGUCAUGCGCCUUAUUAGAUAGCAGAGAAUGCUCUUGCUUUAUGAUCUGAAAAAGAGAGUGAUUUUUAAACAAUCUCUUUGAUGUUUCACUAGGUCUGUCAAGAAAAAUUGUACUAGUUAUGGUCAAGAAAAAUAAGAAAAAAUAUAGUUUACCUUUAUUUUUCUUUCCAACUCAAUGACGGAAUCAACCCAUAAUCUCUUAUCACACUGAUAUUUAGUAGAAAUGUCUUUCAACUUUGCAGCUUGUUGUUCCAGGGCCCUAUCUGCAUAAGCAUUAGGCAUGAUCAAAAAAUUUCAAGUUUUCUAGCAAACAGAACAAUUCUUACAUUUCAUAGGCUCUUUCGUUUUUCCCUUUAGCAACCUACAUUUAAUCGUUCUUCCAUCUGAGACAUUCAGCCAAACCCUCCUUACCUAAAUUCAAAUUCUGGAAGAACUUGUUGUCGAGUUCCAUUCUGACCUUCUCUAGUUGUUCAUUUGAAGUUGUUAAUGACAUCCAAGCUUCAUAGCAUUCAUCUGUCUUGAGCUGGCACAGGUUCUUCAGCUCUUCUAUCUUCUUUUCAUACUUUACUGUAGAUUUCAUUUUCAUAUGUUUCUUCUGCAAACCACGUGAACAAUAAAUCAACAUAACCUAAAGCAAGAAUCUUUGUACUUCAGACGGUCUCAAUCCAGAGUUUGUAUCUCACCAGAGGUGAUGAAAUUUCUAUUUCAGCAUCACAAUUGUUGCAUACAAGAUAAUCGCAAUUCAGUCGAGACACUUUAUCUAGUUUAGAAGAUAAUCAUUUAAGCAAAUCAGCAAGUCUCUCAGGGAAAAUUCACAACAGAAACCUAACAUGAAAGAGAAAAAGAUACCAGCUAAUUCUGUAGCCCGUUUUAUGCAAAUCCCAUUAACUAUUGGGCUUCCACAGACACUUUCAAACCUUACAACAAUCUCCCUGCUCGCCCCCACGGAAGCUCUAAUAUCAACCACUUGUAAUGGCUUGUUUGCUCCAACUAUAGAGUAUACAUCAAGUUCAGACAAUACCUGCCGUUUUCACCAAAAGAACAAGCGAAAUUCCUUAACAACAAUGAACCAAACUAAAUAUAUACACUAUAAGUCGUAUAAUUUUAACUUGCCUUGUCUUCUUGAAUGAAGACAUCAAAAACUCUCAUUCCUUUAGGUCCAUUGGUGUUCACAAUUUCAGCAAAAUGAAGAUCAACCAAAUAGUCCCCCGGGGGGAAAUCAUUGAAUCGGUAAGUGACGUUUCCAAAGCGUGCUGAUUGAUAAAUGGGUGGCAUAUCGCCACCACCAUUGAUGCUUUCAAUGGUUCGCAAAACAUCCCCUCCUUCGAAAAAUUUAUCUCCACAAACAUCAACUCCGCUCGCUCCUUCGUUCUUUAAAGCCCCUCCUCCAGCAUUUACAAACAUAACAGCAGUGUCUAGACCAAAACAGAACAGUCACAGUCGCUUCCACUUUUAAAAGCCAUCAACUUUAUUUAAGAUAUUUCCAAAAUAAUUCGAGAUUAUUGUUCAUAGCAACCAAACAGACUCAAAAACAUCAACAACGUUAGACUCCGCAACAAAAUAGCGAACAAGAAUUGAAGAAAACAGGAAAUGAAAGUAAAUUAGAUAUAAAGAAACAGAAUAAGAAAAAAACCUGAAAAUUCAGAGGUUUCAAAACCAGAUUUAAUCAAUCUUGAACCAGAAAAGCAGAGUGUCGAAUCCACUUCAUCUUCUUGAUUCUCAUUCUCGAACUCAGAAUUCAUAGUAUCUUGUUCACAGUUAAGCAAACUGCAAGGCCUGGAAUUUGGGCUUUGGAUCUUGGAGAGUUGGAGAUGAGAUUUAGGGAUUUGAGAUUCUGCCAUCGGAGAAAGACCUACAAGGAAAAAAAAAAGGAGGGAAUUCGUAGGUGGACCUGUGUUUUUCAAAAUCUUGCUUAAUGUUUCUUUUACCUUUUUGACUAUGUAGCUAACUAUAAAAACUACUGAUGUUUUGUGGACAGAGAUAUUAUAAUAUGACAUGGCCUUAAUUGAUUCGAAAUUUAAAUUUGCUAAAAUAGCGUUUGAACUUUGAAUUUGUAUUUGAUGGACCGUUAGUCCGUUACCCUUUUAAUUGAGUCCUUUAGGCUCCCCUGCCGUGGGUCAUUUUUGUGGGCCGGGUUUCCAUUGUGUUGUACUGUUGUCUGAUCUAUGUGGUCCAAAUUUACUUUGUCCUAUUUACUGCCCUUUUUUUUUGUUAAAAUAACAUUUUUAUAAUAUAUCAUUUUGAAUAUUUUUUCACACUAAUAAAAUUUGAAAUUUGAAUUGACUGCACCAUAUAUCCUCAAAUCAUGUUUGAUAUUUUAUAUUAGUUUCUAAUUUUUUAAAGCAGUUAACAAACAUUUAAAGUAUUUUAAUUAAUUUAUUAAAAUAUUAAUAUUGUAUCAAUUAAAUAAUAUAUUACAAAAUUUUAAAGAAAAACAGGUUGAGCUAAAAUUGGCUUUAGAAUGUUGGAGUCUAAACUUAAUCUAUAUUUUCAAGGAGUUUUUAUUUCCUUUGCCUAAAUCCAUUUUUUAAGUAUAACAAUUUUGUUCAAACUCUUUCAAAUAUUGGGCGAGAUUUUAAGCUAAGACAUGUCCACUUUCUAUUAUCAUAGUCAUUAUCUUACAUAUUAAAUGUCAUUUACGAUGCGAACUUUACUGGUGCGAACCAGUUGCAUCUUAACCGUUGAAAGUUGAUUUGCAAAACAACAUUAAAUGGUCUGUCGAUAAGCCACGUGUAACAGGAAGUACCUACUCAACAAGGACCUAAAGUUAUUUUUUAAAAUUUAACUCGGACAAAUAUAUUUGAUUCGAUUUGAAUCGGAUUCUAUUUCACUUGACUUAAUUCGAGAAAAUUUUAAAUCGAGUUAAGAUGAUAAAAUAGAAUUCGUCAAUUCAAAUUUUUUUCAUUCAAUUCGAUUGAACACUCACUCUUAGUUAAAGCGAUAGCAGAUUUGCAAUGCUUAUGUAUGACAUGGCAACAUUGAUGGACCACACAAUCGAUCAAUCAUCCAAUGUCUCAUAUUCAAUUUUGCAUGGGGUUUGCACUGGGAAAGUUCACAUUGUAGUUGUCACCCAAAUAUGAUGUAAAAUAUGUCUAUUAAUUGGAUGUUUUCCUACCUUAAAAAAUAUGUAUAUUUACUAUAUCCACUGUUUCGAUUUAAUAAGUUUGAAAAAUAACAGUUCUUCUAAAAUUUGUUAACACUUUAUUUUUUUUAACAUGUCAUAUUUAAAUUGUUAAUGCAAUUGGUACAUAUAAUUACAAAGUCGCAUUUUUUAAAUAUGUUCUACAUUGAUGACUGUAAUAGGCCAUUUUAGCCCGGGCCCAAAUGCAUAAACCUGUAUAUAAUAGCCUAUUACUAAACCCAAUAACACCCUGACCCGAUAACCAAAUUACAAGCCCAAUACCCAAACAGCCCAAAUACCUAACCCAUUAGCCUAAAACACAAAAAAAAUGAACAGCAGAAACCUUUGGCAAUAAGCAGCAGAUCGGCGUCGCCCUCGCCCCCACGUUGCAGCAAUCGCCUUCACGCACGAACGCAUAGCAACUGCCCACGUCGUCUCACCCACGUCUGGUAGCUUCGCACGAUGCACGUACCUGCAACAAGCCAUGAACCACGAAUAGAAAUGAUAGCAGAAAUUACGACAAAAGUGAAGAGAGUUUUUUUCUUCCCCAAUAGUUUCUUUCUCCGUUGUUUCGGCUAUAUAAAGCCAAAUCAAAUCUGUAAAAGGGUUACACACACAUAUAUUGAAAUACUGAAAUAAGAAAGAAAAGAA
Molecule: long non-coding RNA, 35307 nt
Filed under: Gossypium raimondii (Peruvian cotton)
Lineage: Eukaryota; Viridiplantae; Streptophyta; Magnoliopsida; Malvales; Malvaceae
Description: long non-coding RNA (GRAI_LNC007068)
Rfam family: Small nucleolar RNA snoR100 (bases 25526-25648)
Source: RNAcentral